This 69-nucleotide microRNA precursor is filed under the name Siganus canaliculatus (white-spotted rabbitfish). Its description in RNAcentral is "miR-33". It matches the Rfam family "mir-33 microRNA precursor family". Lineage: Eukaryota; Metazoa; Chordata; Actinopteri; Siganidae. The record is from RNAcentral.
CUGUGGUGCAUUGUAGUUGCAUUGCAUGUGUGUCUCAUCUGAGUGCAAUGUACCUGCAGUGCAACACAG